GUAGGUGGCAAGCGUUGUCCGGAAUUAUUGGGCGUAAAGCGCGCCCAGGCGGUCCUUUAAGUCUGAUGUGAAAGCCCACGGCUCAACCGUGGAGGGUCAUUGGAAACUGGGGGACUUGAGUACAGAAGAGGAAAGCGGAAUUCCAAGUGUAGCGGUGAAAUGCGUAGAGAUUUGGAGGAACACCAGUGGCGAAGGCGGCUUUCUGGUCUGUAACUGACGCUGAGGCGCGAAAGCGUGGGGAGCAAACAGGAUUAGAUACCCUGGUAGUCCACGCCGUAAACGAUGAGUGCUAAGUGUUAGGGGGUUUCCCGCCCCCCUUAGUGCUGCAGCUAACGCAUUAAGCACUCCGCCUGGGGAGUACGGCCCGCAAGGCUGA
RNAcentral lists this ribosomal RNA (376 nucleotides) under uncultured organism. RNAcentral describes it as "partial 16S ribosomal RNA". It matches the Rfam family "Bacterial small subunit ribosomal RNA", at positions 527 to 897 of the family's 1533-position model. The record is from RNAcentral.